GUGGCGCACGGGCGAGUAACACGUGGGUAACCUACCCUCUGGCGCGGGACAACAGCUCGAAAGGGCUGCUAAUACCGCAUAAGUCGGUGACGGCCUUGGCUGUUACCGGGAAAGGAUGGCCUCUUCUAUGCUAUCGCCGGAGGAUGGGCUCGCGGCCCAUCAGCUUGAUGGUGAGGUAAUGGCUCACCAUGGCUAAGACGGGUAGCUGGUCUGAGAGGAUGAUCAGCCACACUGGGACUGAGACACGGCCCAGACUCCUACGGGAGGCAGCAGUGGGGAAUAUUGGACAAUGGGCGAAAGCCUGAUCCAGCCACGCCGCGUGUGUGAUGAAGGUCUUCGGAUCGUAAAGCACUGUGGAGAGGGACGAAACGCAGAAGGAACAAUACCCUUUUGAAUUGACGGUACCUCUUUAGCAAGCACCGGCUAACUCCGUGCCAGCAGCCGCGGUAAUACGGAGGGUGCAAACGUUGCUCGGAAUCAUUGGGCGUAAAGCGCGUGUAGGCGGCAAGAUAAGUUGAGUGUGAAAGCCCUGGGCUUAACCCAGGAAGUGCGCUCAAAACUGUCUAGCUAGAGUACGGGAGAGGGUAGCGGAAUUCCCGGUGUAGAGGUGAAAUUCGUAGAUAUCGGGAGGAACCACCAGUGGCGAAGGCGGCUACCUGGACCGAUACUGACGCUGAGACGCGAAAGCGUGGGUAGCAAACAGGAUUAGAUACCCUGGUAGUCACGC
RNAcentral lists this ribosomal RNA (727 nucleotides) under uncultured delta proteobacterium. RNAcentral's name for it is "bacterial SSU rRNA". It matches the Rfam family "Bacterial small subunit ribosomal RNA", at positions 95 to 800 of the family's 1533-position model. Lineage: Bacteria; Deltaproteobacteria. The record is from RNAcentral.